Molecule: ribosomal RNA, 253 nt
Filed under: uncultured bacterium
Lineage: Bacteria
Description: partial 16S ribosomal RNA
Rfam family: Bacterial small subunit ribosomal RNA
Source: RNAcentral
UACGUAGGGGGCUAGCGUUGUUCGGAUUUACUGGGCGUAAAGGGCGCGUAGGCGGCCUUCUAAGUCGAACGUGAAAUCCCCGGGCUCAACCCGGGAACUGCGUCCGAUACUGGAAGGCUUGAAUCCGGGAGAGGGAUGCGGAAUUCCAGGUGUAGCGGUGAAAUGCGUAGAUAUCUGGAGGAACACCGGUGGCGAAGGCGGCAUCCUGGACCGGUAUUGACGCUGAGGCGCGAAAGCGUGGGGAGCAAACAGG